AUUGAACGCUGGCGGAAUGCUUUACACAUGCAAGUCGAGCGGCAGCGCGGGGCAACCUGGCGGCGAGCGGCGAACGGGUGAGUAACAUAUCGGAACGUACCCAGUCGUGGGGGAUAACUAUCCGAAAGGAUAGCUAAUACCGCAUACGACCUGAGGGUGAAAGCGGGGGACCGAAAGGCCUCGCGCGAUUGGAGCGGCCGAUAUCGGAUUAGCUAGUUGGUGAGGUAAAGGCUCACCAAGGCGACGAUCCGUAGCUGGUCUGAGAGGACGACCAGCCACACUGGAACUGAGACACGGUCCAGACUCCUACGGGAGGCAGCAGUGGGGAAUUUUGGACAAUGGGGGCAACCCUGAUCCAGCCAUUCCGCGUGAGUGAAGAAGGCCU
This 385-nucleotide ribosomal RNA is filed under the name uncultured bacterium. Its description in RNAcentral is "bacterial SSU rRNA". It matches the Rfam family "Bacterial small subunit ribosomal RNA", at positions 29 to 417 of the family's 1533-position model. The record is from RNAcentral.